AAGCGGUGGAGCAUGUGAGUUAAUUCGAUGCAACGCGAUGAACCUUACCUACUCUUGAGAUCCUAAGAAGCCGCCAGAGAUGGUGGUGUGCCUACGGGAGCUUAGAGACAGGUGCUGCAUGGCUGUCGUCAGCUCGUGUUGUGAAAUGUUGGGUUAAGUCCCGCAACGAGCGCAACCCUUAUCCUUUGUUGCCAGCAUGUUAGGGUGGGAACUCAAAGGAGACUGCCGGUGAUAAACUGGAGGAAGGUGGGGAUGACGACAAGUCAUCAUGGCCCUUACGAGUAGGGCUACACACGUGCUACAAUGGCGUAUACAGAGGGAGGCGAGCCUGCGAGGGUAAGCGUAGCUCAGAAAGUACGUCUAAGUCCAGAUUGGAGUCUGGAACUCGACUCCAUGAAGUCGGAAUCGCUAGUAAUCGCGGAUCAGAAUGUCGCGGUGAAUACGUUCCCGGGCCUUGUACACACCGCCCGUCACACCAUGGGAGUGGGUUGUACCAGAAGUAGAUAGCUUAACGAAAGGGGGCGUUUACCACGGUAUGGUUCAUGACUGGGGUGAAGUCGUAACAAGGUAACCGUAGGGGAACCUGCGGUUGGAUCACCUCCUUAUAAGAGAUUUAAUCACGAGUGUUCACACAGAUUGGGAUUA
Molecule: ribosomal RNA, 645 nt
Filed under: Histophilus somni
Lineage: Bacteria; Pseudomonadati; Pseudomonadota; Gammaproteobacteria; Pasteurellales; Pasteurellaceae
Description: bacterial SSU rRNA
Rfam family: Bacterial small subunit ribosomal RNA
Source: RNAcentral